AACACAUGCAAGUCGAACGGCAGCACGGGUGCUUGCACCUGGUGGCGAGUGGCGAACGGGUGAGUAAUACAUCGGAACAUGUCCUGUAGUGGGGGAUAGCCCGGCGAAAGCCGGAUUAAUACCGCAUACGAUCCAUGGAUGAAAGCGGGGGACCUUCGGGCCUCGCGCUAUAGGGUUGGCCGAUGGCUGAUUAGCUAGUUGGUGGGGUAAAGGCCUACCAAGGCGACGAUCAGUAGCUGGUCUGAGAGGACGACCAGCCACACUGGGACUGAGACACGGCCCAGACUCCUACGGGAGGCAGCAGUGGGGAAUUUUGGACAAUGGGCGAAAGCCUGAUCCAGCAAUGCCGCGUGUGUGAAGAAGGCCUUCGGGUUGUAAAGCACUUUUGUCCGGAAAGAAAUCCCUGGCUCUAAUACAGUCGGGGGAUGACGGUACCGGAAGAAUAAGCACCGGCUAACUACGUGCCAGCAGCCGCGGUAAUACGUAGGGUGCAAGCGUUAAUCGGAAUUACUGGGCGUAAAGCGUGCGCAGGCGGUUUGCUAAGACCGAUGUGAAAUCCCCGGGCUCAACCUGGGAACUGCAUUGGUGACUGGCAGGCUAGAGUAUGGCAGA
RNAcentral lists this ribosomal RNA (612 nucleotides) under uncultured bacterium. RNAcentral describes it as "bacterial SSU rRNA". It matches the Rfam family "Bacterial small subunit ribosomal RNA", at positions 50 to 655 of the family's 1533-position model. The record is from RNAcentral.